Molecule: non-coding RNA, 31 nt
Filed under: Rattus norvegicus (Norway rat)
Lineage: Eukaryota; Metazoa; Chordata; Mammalia; Rodentia; Muridae
Source: RNAcentral
AAGGCUUGUUGAUGUAGCUUAAUGGUAGAGU